UUAUAUAUACAACUUUCAGCAACGGAUCUCUUGGCUCUCGCAUCGAUGAAGAACGCAGCGAAAUGCGAUAAGUAAUGUGAAUUGCAGAAUUCAGUGAAUCAUCGAAUCUUUGAACGCACCUUGCACUCCUUGGUAUUCCGAGGAGUAUGCCUGUUUGAGUGUCAUGGUAUUCUCAAUUCUAAUAACUUUUGUUAUUCGGAAUUGGACUUGGAGGUUUUUUGCCGGUGCUUCGGCUUUCCGGCUCCUCUUAAAUGCAUUAGUGUGAAUCAAGUCAACACGUUACUCAGUGUGAUAAUUAUCUACGCUGUGUUCAAUUGUUGACUUUAUAAGUGUUCAUGCUUAUAACCCGUCUGUUGACUCAGACACUUAUACUUUGAAAUCUGACCUCAAA
This 391-nucleotide ribosomal RNA is filed under the name Podoscypha nitidula. RNAcentral's name for it is "eukaryotic LSU rRNA". The stretch from base 11 to 164 matches the Rfam family "5.8S ribosomal RNA". The record is from RNAcentral. Lineage: Eukaryota; Fungi; Basidiomycota; Agaricomycetes; Polyporales; Podoscyphaceae.